RNAcentral lists this ribosomal RNA (699 nucleotides) under uncultured Bacilli bacterium. RNAcentral describes it as "bacterial SSU rRNA". It matches the Rfam family "Bacterial small subunit ribosomal RNA", at positions 69 to 737 of the family's 1533-position model. The record is from RNAcentral. Lineage: Bacteria; Bacillati; Bacillota; Bacilli.
AAACUUUCUUACACCGAAUGCUUGCAUUCACCGUAAGAAGUUGAGUGGCGGACGGGUGAGUAACACGUGGGUAACCUGCCUAAAAGAAGGGGAUAACACUUGGAAACAGGUGCUAAUACCGUAUAUCUCUAAGGAUCGCAUGAUUCUUAGAUGAAAGAUGGUUCUGCUAUCGCUUUUAGAUGGACCCGCGGCGUAUUAACUAGUUGGUGGGGUAACGGCCUACCAAGGUGAUGAUACGUAGCCGAACUGAGAGGUUGAUCGGCCACAUUGGGACUGAGACACGGCCCAAACUCCUACGGGAGGCAGCAGUAGGGAAUCUUCCACAAUGGACGCAAGUCUGAUGGAGCAACGCCGCGUGAGUGAAGAAGGUCUUCGGAUCGUAAAACUCUGUUGUUAGAGAAGAACACGAGUGAGAGUAACUGUUCAUUCGAUGACGGUAUCUAACCAGCAAGUCACGGCUAACUACGUGCCAGCAGCCGCGGUAAUACGUAGGUGGCAAGCGUUGUCCGGAUUUAUUGGGCGUAAAGGGAACGCAGGCGGUCUUUUAAGUCUGAUGUGAAAGCCUUCGGCUUAACCGGAGUAGUGCAUUGGAAACUGGAAGACUUGAGUGCAGAAGAGGAGAGUGGAACUCCAUGUGUAGCGGUGAAAUGCGUAGAUAUAUGGAAGAACACCAGUGGCGAAAGCGGCUCUCUGGUCUGU